RNAcentral lists this ribosomal RNA (777 nucleotides) under uncultured Neocallimastigales. Its description in RNAcentral is "partial large subunit ribosomal RNA". It matches the Rfam family "Eukaryotic large subunit ribosomal RNA", at positions 26 to 627 of the family's 3401-position model. Lineage: Eukaryota; Fungi; Neocallimastigomycota; Neocallimastigomycetes; Neocallimastigales. The record is from RNAcentral.
CGUCUAUAUACGUAUAGCAUAUCAAUAAGCGGAGGAAAAGAAACUAACUAGGAUUCCCUCAGUAACGGCGAGUGAAGCGGGAAGAGCUCAAAUUUGAAAUCUUAAAGGGUUCUACCUUGACGAACUGUAGUUUAAAGAAGUGUUUUCUGUUGGAGUUUUGGUAAAAGUUCUUUGGAAUAGGACAUCAGUAGAGGGUGAGAAUCCCGUAUUUGACCAUUAUUUCCAACUUUGUGAUACAGCUUUCAAAGAGUCGGAUUGUUUGGGAAUGCAGUCCAAAAUGGGUGGUAAAUUUCAUCUAAAGCUAAAUAUUGGCGAGAGACCGAUAGCGAACAAGUACCGUGAGGGAAAGAUGAAAAGAACUUUGAAAAGAGAGUUAAACAGUACGUGAAAUUGUCAAAAGGGAAGCGUUUGACACCAGUGUUGUUUUCUCGAAAAUCAAUUAAAAAUGGUGGGAUUUUGUGUUGUAUUGACUUUAUCAGCUUUCUGCACUUUUUUCCUAUCUUUUUUAAUGCACUUUUCGUUUAACAAGUCAACAUCAAUUUCUUUUGUUGUAAAAGAGUCAUUGGAAGGUGGCUUUCUUUUCGGAGAAAGUGUUUAUAGCCUUUGACUUCUGCAAUCGGAGAGAUUGAGGUCUGCAGCGUAGAUCCUUCGGGGUUAGAUGCAUUUGUGCUAAGCUAUAGCCUUUCAUAGACAACUUGUUGACUAUGAUCAGUCAUGUAGCUUACUCGCUUAUGUCAUUUUACCUACGCUUAGGAUGUUGACGAUCAGCUGAGCGCG